ACAUUUUUUUCCUUAAAAAAAGGCCACAUGUAAAUUUGCGAUUAAUCACGAGUUAACUCUGGACAAUGCGAUUAAUCGCGAUUAAAAAAUUUAAUCGCCUGACAGCUCUAUUAAUCAGUAUAGAAAGUUUGGCGACUCUAACAUUAAUAUCUUCAGAGCUAUUAAGCAUUUUAGACCAAAUAUGAUCCAUAUUUUCAUACAAAAAAAAUCAAAAAAAUUUAAAAAUGUAAAUUUCUGCAAUAAUCUUUGAUGUAGCUGACCCUUAAACUCAUCAUUAGUCAGUGCAGAAAGUUUGGUGACUCUAACUUUAAUAUUCCUACAGCUAUUGAGCAUAUUUUUCAUGCUUCAUAUCUAUUAAAAUGGUUAAAAUCAAAAUCUUUAUUGUAGCACAAAUAUGGUGACGAAUCUCAAUCACUAGUUCACACAAAAGUCGAUAUUUAUUUGUUUCUGAGAGGUUAUUGACUUUUACAGAAUGGCCUUUUCUGGAAGCUUCACUUUGUAGACGGUCCCUUAGCAGCCGUCUCGCUUCCGUCUCGCCAUCUGCAGCCCGAAGAGAACACUUUUUAUUAAACGGGUAAAAAAACAAUCUUUUUUCUUUAGAAAUAGUUGUGUAGUUGACUCUCUGUGUUGAGACGAUUGAGAUACUUGCUGUCAUAUUUGAACGUUUUUCUGAAGAGCUAUUGAGCCCAGAAGUGCGAAUCUGUGAAUAUCUUUCUAACUUCACCGAACUAUUUUUGAAUUAUUGACGGUUUGAAAAAAACGCCAAUUUUCUGUUUUACUAUUGCUGGAUUCAAUCGCUUCCUGUUUACGCUGCGCGUUGCCAUGGAAACUGUCUGAUUGUGGAGUGAGAUUUGUUGAAAAGUUUGUUGCUGGCGCCUGCCUGUCUGGAUCCCGUUUCCUGUCCCCAAACGAUGCGGAGUUUGCAGCGCCCUGUCGACCCACGGACUCCGUACUGUGGCAUGGAUGCGACGCUUCGACUCUCGCCACAGGGUCCCGCGUUCCUGCGCGCUUGUCAUGGUGCCUCUGUCAGUCUCCUCCCCCUCUCCACUCUCCUCUCCUCUCCACCCGGCUGCUGAUUAACCCCAGCUGCGACCACUCACCUCAUCACCUCGCCUGCCUUUUUAAGGAGCACCAGGAUCAUCAUUCUUCGCCAGUCCUUUGCCCCUGAUGGAAUCUGUUACCACGAGUGGUCGCUGCUGUCUGCCUCUGCCGGAUCCCCAGUUGGAUCUUCUCUCCACGGUCACACCACGAGCCUCUGCCUUUGCUCCACGGUCCUGCUCCUAAGACGGCUAUGUCCCUCUCCGAGGAACCAAACGGUGACGCCUCCAGCCUCGACCUCCUGCUUGGAGCCCACUUCUUGCCCUGUUCAAGUUACUACCUCCUCGCAUCACUAUUAAAUCCUUUAUCUACCA
Oryzias melastigma (Indian medaka) is the source of this 1412-nucleotide long non-coding RNA. RefSeq lists it as uncharacterized. The record is from RefSeq and is a predicted model, not a curated record. The transcript has 2 exons. NCBI's taxonomy places the organism in Eukaryota, Metazoa, Chordata, Actinopteri, Beloniformes, Adrianichthyidae.